ACCUACGGGGGGCAGCAGUGGGGAAUAUUGCACAAUGGGGGAAACCCUGAUGCAGCAACGCCGCGUGAGUGAAGAAGGUUUUCGGAUUGUAAAGCUCUGUUAGCAGGGAAGAGGAAGGACGGUACCUGCAGAGGAAGCCACGGCUAACUACGUGCCAGCAGCCGCGGUAAUACGUAGGGGGCAAGCGUUAUCCGGAUUUACUGGGUGUAAAGGGAGCGUAGGUGGCAAGGCAAGUCAGAUGUGAAAACCCGGGGCACAACCCCGGGAGUGCAUUUGAAACUGUCUGGCUAGAGUGCAGGAG
This 301-nucleotide ribosomal RNA is filed under the name uncultured bacterium. RNAcentral's name for it is "bacterial SSU rRNA". It matches the Rfam family "Bacterial small subunit ribosomal RNA", at positions 337 to 654 of the family's 1533-position model. The record is from RNAcentral.